GAUGAAGAACGUAGCGAAAUGCGAUACUUGGUGUGAAUUGCAGAAUCCCGUGAACCAUCGAGUCUUUGAACGCAAGUUGCGCCUCAAGCCAUUAGGUUGAGGGCACGUCUGCCUGGGCGUCACAUAUCGUUGCCUGAUGCCAGUUUCCUCGUGAUGGGUGACUGUGCAGGGCGAAUGAUGGCUUCCCGUGAGCAUUGUUGCCUCAUGGUUGGUUGAAAAUUGAGUCCUUGGUAGGGAGCGCCGUGAUAGAUGGUGGUUGAGUGACGAACGAGACCCAAUCAUGUGAGACCCCUACCGAAUUUGGCCUUCAUGACCCACAUGCGUCUUUGGAACGCUCAUGACGAGACCUCAGGUCAGGCGGGGCUAGCCGCUGAGUUUAAGCAUAUCAAUAAGCGGAGGA
Molecule: unclassified non-coding RNA, 400 nt
Filed under: soil metagenome
Description: partial contains 5.8S ribosomal RNA, internal transcribed spacer 2, and large subunit ribosomal RNA
Rfam family: 5.8S ribosomal RNA (bases 1-122)
Source: RNAcentral